GCAAGAUUAGUUUAGUGGUAGAACGGGACGUUGCCAACGUUCAAACACGGGUUCGAUUCCCGUAUUUUGCA
RNAcentral lists this transfer RNA (71 nucleotides) under Candidatus Pacearchaeota archaeon. RNAcentral's name for it is "tRNA-Gly". It matches the Rfam family "tRNA". From Rfam's summary of the family: Transfer RNA (tRNA) molecules are approximately 80 nucleotides in length. The record is from RNAcentral. Lineage: Archaea; Nanobdellati.